UGCGUAGGGUGCAAGCGUUGUCCGGAAUUAUUGGGCGUAAAGAGCUCGUAGGCGGUUUGUUGCGUCGGCUGUGAAAUCCCGAGGCUCAACCUCGGGUCUGCAGUCGAUACGAGCAAACUAGAGUGUUGCAGGGGAGACUGGAAUUCCUGGUGUAGCGGUGAAAUGCGCAGAUAUCAGGAGGAACACCGGUGGCGAAGGCGGGUCUCUGGGCAGCAACUGACGCUGAGGAGCGAAAGCGUGGGGAGCAAACAGG
This 253-nucleotide ribosomal RNA is filed under the name uncultured bacterium. Its description in RNAcentral is "partial 16S ribosomal RNA". It matches the Rfam family "Bacterial small subunit ribosomal RNA", at positions 524 to 776 of the family's 1533-position model. The record is from RNAcentral.